CUUCUCCUUCUUCCUCUCUUCUUCUUCUUUCAUCUUCUAACUCAAGAAAAACCAAAAUUUCUCUCAAUUAUUCAAGUCGUGCGACUUCCAAGGGAAAGAAAUAAAUUGUUUUGCCCUUUCCCAAACCGUGCCAUACACUCAUUUCAUACCCAUUUUCGAGUUGUUCAUAGUUUGGGAUUUCAAAGCUUGUUUUCAUCUUCUAAGAGGUGAAAAAUUGAAGCCAAGAAUUGGUGUUUUCUCUAGUACAUUAAGCCGAAAUCAACUCUCCUCUUCAUGAUUCUUGUGUUUUGGGAAGGAGUUACUAAAGGACCUACUGACGUUGGAGGUACCGAAGCAUAUCGAGGUAUUGAUGGAGAGGCUGAGGAGCUGGGCACUACCGAGGAGGAAGGGGCUGAUGUUUCGUAGUCCCUUGUUAGGUUGGUUCUUUUGGUGAUAGUUCCUAGUUUAUAUGUUUUGAGGAUGGGCCCCAUGUGGGGAUGUUUAUUUGGGUUAACCUUUAAACAAGGUACCUUCGGGUACAAAGUAAAUUUUAUGAUGGGGUAUAGUGUAACUUCUAUGAUGGGGUGAUGGUAACCCUCAUACUUUGACUUAACUUCAUUUUGUAUGAACUGUAGGGACUGAGU
This is a long non-coding RNA of Carya illinoinensis, 623 nucleotides long. RefSeq lists it as uncharacterized. The record is from RefSeq and is a predicted model, not a curated record. The transcript has 4 exons. Lineage: Eukaryota; Viridiplantae; Streptophyta; Magnoliopsida; Fagales; Juglandaceae.